Molecule: ribosomal RNA, 523 nt
Filed under: uncultured Actinomycetales bacterium
Lineage: Bacteria; Bacillati; Actinomycetota; Actinomycetes; Actinomycetales
Description: bacterial SSU rRNA
Rfam family: Bacterial small subunit ribosomal RNA
Source: RNAcentral
CUGACGCAGCGACGCCGCGUGAGGGAUGAAGGCCUUCGGGUUGUAAACCUCUUUCAGCAGGGACGAAGCGAAAGUGACCGUGCCUGCAGAACAAGGACCGGUUAACUACGUGCCAGCAGCCGCGGUAAUACGUACGGGGCUAGCGUUGUCCGGAAUUAUUGGGCGUAAAGAGCUCCGGUUCGGUUUGUCGCGUCUGAAGUGAAAAGGCUAGGCUUAACCCCGGGCCUGCAUUCGGUACGGGCAGACUUUGGAAAGGGAGGGGAGACUGGAAUUCCUGGUGUAGAGGUGAAAUGCGCAGAUAUAAAGAGGAACACCGGUGGCGAACGCGGUUCUCUGGGCAUUACCUGACGCUCAGGAGCGAAAGCGUGGGGAGCGAACAGGAUUACAUACCCUGGUACUCCACACCCUAUACGUUGGGCGCUAGGUGUGGGGGUCAUUCCACGGGUUCCGUGCCGCACCUAACGCAUUAAGCGCCCCGCCUGGGGAGUACGGCCGCAAGGCUAAAACUAAUAGGAAUUGACGG